This 520-nucleotide ribosomal RNA is filed under the name uncultured Glomus. RNAcentral describes it as "SSU rRNA". It matches the Rfam family "Eukaryotic small subunit ribosomal RNA", at positions 569 to 1092 of the family's 1831-position model. The record is from RNAcentral. Lineage: Eukaryota; Fungi; Glomeromycota; Glomeromycetes; Glomerales; Glomeraceae.
AGCAGCCGCGGUAAUUCCAGCUCCAAUAGCGUAUAUUAAAGUUGUUGCAGUUAAAAAGCUCGUAGUUGAAUUUCGGGAUCAGUUGAUCGGUCGUGCCUCGGUACGUACUGGUCAAAUUGAUUCCUACCUUCUGACGAACCACGGUGUCAUUAAUUUGGUGUCGUGGGAAAUCAGGACUGUUACUUUGAAAAAAUUAGAGUGUUUAAAGCAGGCUCGCGCUUGAAUACAUUAGCAUGGAAUAAUGAAAUAGGACGUUUGAUUCUAUUUUGUUGGUUUCUAGGAUCGACGUAAUGAUUAAUAGGGAUAGUUGGGGGCAUUAGUAUUCAAUUGUCAGAGGUGAAAUUCUUGGAUUUAUUGAAGACUAACUACUGCGAAAGCAUUUGCCAAGGAUGUUUUCAUUAAUCAAGAACGAAAGUUAGGGGAUCGAAGACGAUCAGAUACCGUCGUAGUCUUAACCAUAAACUAUGCCGACUAGGGAUCGGAUGAUGUUAAUUUUUAAUGACUCAUUCGGCGCCUUACG